GUGUAUGUAUGUAUGUCUUGUCUUUGUAUGUAUCUGUUGUGUGUAUCUUGUCUUUGUAUGUAUAUGUGUCUUGUGUCUGUAUGUGUGUGUGUCUUGUGUCUGUAUGUGUGUGUCUUUGUAUGUAUGUCUUGUGUGUGUGUGUGUGUGUCUGUGUGUGUGUAUGUAUGUGUGUCUUGUCUUUGUAUGUAUGUGUUGUGUGUGUCUUGUCUUUGUAUGUAUGUGUGUCUUAUG
Pelobates cultripes (western spadefoot toad) is the source of this 231-nucleotide non-coding RNA. NCBI's taxonomy places the organism in Eukaryota, Metazoa, Chordata, Amphibia, Anura, Pelobatidae. The record is from the annotation of a GenBank genome assembly.